Molecule: ribosomal RNA, 480 nt
Filed under: uncultured bacterium
Lineage: Bacteria
Description: partial 16S ribosomal RNA
Rfam family: Bacterial small subunit ribosomal RNA
Source: RNAcentral
AUGCACGCUGGCGGCGUGCUUAACACAUGCAAGUCGCACGAAGCAUUUAAGACAGAUUACUUCGGUUUGAAGUCUUUUAUGACUGAGUGGCGGACGGGUGAGUAAUGCGUGGGUAACCUGCCUCAUACAGGGGGAUAGCAGCUGGAAACGGCUGGUAAUACCGCAUAAGCGCACAGUACCACAUGGUACAGUGUGAAAAACUCCGGUGGUAUGAGAUGGACCCGCGUCUGAUUAGCUUGUUGGCGGGGUAACGGCCCACCAAGGCGACGAUCAGUAGCCGACCUGAGAGGGUGACCGGCCACAUUGGGACUGAGACACGGCCCAGACUCCUACGGGAGGCAGCAGUGGGGAAUAUUGCACAAUGGAGGAAACUCUGAUGCAGCGACGCCGCGUGAGUGAAGAAGUAGUUCGCUAUGUAAAGCUCUAUCAGCAGGGAAGAUAGUGACGGUACCUGACUAAGAAGCUCCGGCUAAAUACGUG